CCCCAGAUGUUGCUGAAAUACAACUCCCAUGAUUCUUUGAAUUACAUAGAUAGCCAGAGAAUCAUGGGAGUUGUAGUUCAGCAACAUCUGGGG
This is a non-coding RNA of Pelobates cultripes (western spadefoot toad), 93 nucleotides long. NCBI's taxonomy places the organism in Eukaryota, Metazoa, Chordata, Amphibia, Anura, Pelobatidae. The record is from the annotation of a GenBank genome assembly.